This is a long non-coding RNA of Oncorhynchus keta (chum salmon), 1202 nucleotides long. RefSeq lists it as uncharacterized. The record is from RefSeq and is a predicted model, not a curated record. The transcript has 3 exons. Lineage: Eukaryota; Metazoa; Chordata; Actinopteri; Salmoniformes; Salmonidae.
UCGUUCUGCCCCUGAACAGGCAGUUAACCCACUGUUCCUAGGCCGUCAUUGAAAAUAAGAAUUUGUUCUUAACUGACUUGCCUGGUUAAAUAAAGGUAAAAAAUAUAUAUUAUUUUCUUUACGCAGAUUUUAUAAUACAUGCAUGAAAAAUGUCACCAUGGAAACCUCGCAAAUGAGUAAGAAACCCAAAGAAGUUGUCAAAAGCCAUCCAAGGACUCCCCACACCACCCGACAACGAGGAGAUAGUACCUGUUCUCUGUGUCUGACUGGUAGUAUGGAGCUGCUGCUCAGAGUAUUGUUUCUGCAUCCUAUGUAAUGUAUUCUCAGUGAUGACCCCCCCCCUCCUCCAUGUCCAGAGAAAUCACUCAUUUAAGUUGUUGGGGCAGCAGGUAGCCUGGUGGUUAGAGUGAUGGGCCAGUAACCAGCAGGUAGCCUAGUGGUUAGAGUGAUGGGCCAGUAACCAGCAGGUAGUCUAGUGGUUAGAGUGAUGGGCCAGUAACCAGCAGGUAGUCUAGUGGUUAGAGCGUUGGGCCAGAAACCAGCAGGUAGCCUGGUGGUUAGAGUGAUGGGCCAGUAACCAGCAGGUAGCCUAGUGGUUAGAGUGUUGGACUAGUAACCAACAGGUAGCCUAGUGGUUAGAGUGUUGGACUAGUAGCCAGCAGGUAGCCUAGUGGUUAGAGCGUUGGACUAGUAACCAGCAGGUAGCCUAGUGGUUAGAGCGUUGGACUAGUAACCAGCAGGUAGCCUAGUGGUUAGAGCGUUGGACUAGUAACCAGCAGGUAGCCUAGUGGUUAGAGCGUUGGACUAGUAACCAGCAGGUAGCCUAGUGGUUAGAGCGUUGGGCCAGUAACCAGCAGGUAGCCUAGUGGUUAGAGUGUUGGGCCAGUAACCAGCAGGUAGCCUAGUGGUUAGAGUGUUGGGCCAGUAACCAGCAGGUAGCCUAGUGGUUAGAGUGUUGGGCCAGUAACCAGCAGGUAGCCUAGUGGUUAGAGUGUUGGGCCAGUAACCAGCAGGUAGCCUAGUGGUUAGAGUGUUGGGCCAGUAACCAGCAGGUAGCCUAGUGGUUAGAGUGUUGGGCCAGUAACCAGCAGGUAGCCUAGUGGUUAGAGUGUUGGACCAGUAACCAGCAGGUAGCCUAGUGGUUAGAGUGUUGGACCAGUAACCAGCAGGUAGCCUAGUGGUUAGAGCGUUGGGCCAGUAAC